Long non-coding RNA from Mauremys reevesii (Reeves's turtle), 739 nucleotides. RefSeq lists it as uncharacterized. NCBI's taxonomy places the organism in Eukaryota, Metazoa, Chordata, Testudines, Geoemydidae. The transcript has 3 exons. The record is from RefSeq and is a predicted model, not a curated record.
GCCCCGCCCCGCAGGUGGGGAGGCAGGGGGAUGGGCUCCCCAAGGAAGUAGCCUUCCUCCUCCGAGUCCGAGGAUGAAGAGGAGGAGGAGGAGUCGUGCCAGGGGCCACCGCGGCCCCGGAGGCUGCAGCCCCGGGAGCAGAAGAUCUGCCCCCCCUUGGGCAGGAAGGGUUUGCCCAGCAGCGGCAGCCGGCAGCGGGUGCAGCAGAAGCAGGCGUCGGUGGCGUGCCAGUGCUGGCCCUCCAGCCACUAUCUCAUCCUACUCGGCCGUAACACAAGAAACCUGCAGGCCUGUAUCCUGUCUGAUUAGCUACAGCGAGUUAGCGCAGUGUCUGUAAUCUUGGGCCUAGAGAUAAACGGCCCAUCGGUUACCCCUUGUGACUCUGAAUGGGGAACCAAAUGUGUUUACCCAAACUCUGGGACGGACCGGUAACCGCAAGGGCAUGGAAGUAACGGCUCAGGCCAAAGGAAACGCUUUCGAGAACGAGCUACGCAGGACUAUGUGAGAACUUGCCAGCCCGUGGAGUGAGCGUCCCCUAAGAUUUAUCCGGGAGAGGAGAUCAGCUCUGGGCAUGGACAGCUGGGCACAGACACGGAUAUUCUGGAUAGUGCCAGGCCGCUGUAAGAGAGCGAAGCGCCAGACGAUGUCUUUGGGGCUCCGUGAUUCGGUGCUUUAGUUACUCGCUCGUUUAGCUCAGUGUAGCCUGAUUUGGGGAUAGUCUCUGCGAGCCUACAAUAAA